This 301-nucleotide ribosomal RNA is filed under the name uncultured bacterium. Its description in RNAcentral is "partial 16S ribosomal RNA". It matches the Rfam family "Bacterial small subunit ribosomal RNA", at positions 509 to 807 of the family's 1533-position model. The record is from RNAcentral.
CAGCAGCCACGGGAAUACGGAGGGAGCUAGCGUUGUUCGGAAUUACUGGGCGUAAAGCGCACGUAGGCGGCUUUGUAAGUUAGAGGUGAAAGCCUGGAGCUCAACUCCAGAAUUGCCUUUAAGACUGCAUCGCUUGAAUCCGGGAGAGGUGAGUGGAAUUCCGAGUGUAGAGGUGAAAUUCGUAGAUAUUCGGAAGAACACCAGUGGCGAAGGCGGCUCACUGGACCGGCAUUGACGCUGAGGUGCGAAAGCGUGGGGAGCAAACAGGAUUAGAGACCCGAGUAGUCCCUGUCUCUUAUAC